RNAcentral lists this ribosomal RNA (253 nucleotides) under uncultured bacterium. RNAcentral describes it as "partial 16S ribosomal RNA". It matches the Rfam family "Bacterial small subunit ribosomal RNA", at positions 524 to 776 of the family's 1533-position model. The record is from RNAcentral.
UACGUAGGGGGCAAGCGUUGUCCGGAUUUAUUGGGCGUAAAGAGCGUGUAGGCGGCUUGGUAGGUCCGCUGUGAAAACUCGAGGCUCAACCUCGAGAUGUCGGCGGAAACCACUUGGCUAGAGUCCGGAAGAGGAGAGUGGAAUUCCCGGUGUAGCGGUGAAAUGCGCAGAUAUCAGGAAGAACACCAAUGGCGAAAGCAGCUCUCUGGGACGGUACUGACGCUGAGACGCGAAAGCGUGGGGAGCGAACAGG